This 253-nucleotide ribosomal RNA is filed under the name uncultured bacterium. RNAcentral's name for it is "partial 16S ribosomal RNA". It matches the Rfam family "Bacterial small subunit ribosomal RNA", at positions 524 to 776 of the family's 1533-position model. The record is from RNAcentral.
UACGUAGGGUGCAAGCGUUGCCCGGAUUUAUUGGGCGUAAAGGGCGCGUAGGCGGCUCUGCACGUUCGUUGUGAAAUCGCCCGGCUCAACUGGGCGGGGUCAGCGGAUACGGCAGAGCUUGAGCAAGCUAGGGGGCAAUGGAAUUCCCGGUGUAGUGGUGGAGUGCGUAGAUAUCAGGAGGAACACCUGCGGUGUAGACGGCUUACUGGACGGUAACUGACGCUGAGGCACGAAAGCGUGGGUAGCAAACAGG